This 393-nucleotide ribosomal RNA is filed under the name uncultured bacterium. Its description in RNAcentral is "partial 16S ribosomal RNA". It matches the Rfam family "Bacterial small subunit ribosomal RNA", at positions 523 to 918 of the family's 1533-position model. The record is from RNAcentral.
AUACGGAGGAUGCAAGCGUUAUCCGGAUUUAUUGGGUUUAAAGGGUGCGUAGGCGGUUUGCUAAGCGGGAGGUGAAAUGCCGGCGCUCAACGUCGGAAGUGCCUCCCGAACUGGGGGACUGGAAUGACUCUGCCGUGGGAGGAAUGUGUAGUGUAGCGGUGAAAUGCUUAGAGAUUACACAGAACACCGAUUGCGAAGGCAUCUCACGAAGGGUUGAUUGACGCUGAGGCACGAAAGCGUGGGGAUCAAACAGGAUUAGAUACCCUGGUAGUCCACGCAGUAAACGAUGAUGGCUAACCGCUGGUUUAUUCGGAUCAGUGGCCAAGCGAAAGCGAUAAGCCAUCCACCUGGGGAGUACGACCGCAAGGUUGAAACUCAAAGGAAUUGACGGGG